CCUCAGAAGCUUGAAGAAAGAUUCACAAGAACACAACAAUUCAACAAGCACUCGGCUAACACUAAGUAACUCGAUAUGAAAUGGUUUGACUUUUUGACAGAAGUCGUAUUGAACACAUUAACCAUUUCAAGCAAUGUCUGUUAGAGUCUAACGAUAAUUCGACUAUGUAGUGUUUAUAUGGGUUGGAAGGGGUUUCAAAGUGUUGCAUUCACGAACCUAUUAGCUUAAGAAAAACGUUACAAAAUGUUGUAGCUGAUUGGGGUGGAGCAAUAUUGAAAUCCUGUACUUUGUUUAAACUUUGCUUAAACAUGAAAUAUCGUUUUUUGCUGUAACAUAAAAUGGCAGAAUUUGUGUUGAACAAAACAAUAAAAAUAAAAAGUUGUUAACCAAAAAUUAAUCUCAAGACUAAGAUAGCCUACUACCUCUCAGACUUAUGAUCAGUGAAAUGUAAUGAAACUAAAGUCAAAUCAAAAGAACAUAUUUUGACCGGAUGAAAUCAAUGUUAAGUAAGCAUUUUGACUUCUUCAAAAUCCCCCCCAAAAUAAUUGUAGCUUUAAAUUAACAUUUACUUUCAAGAUUUUCCCAUAUAUAGCAGGAGAAACAUUUGGCUCCCACAAGACAUUUUUUCAAAAACUCAAAGGUGCAAAGGUGGUCAAUUGGCACCCCAAGAGUGAUGUCGUUAUCAUCUUCUGUUCCAUCGUCAGCCACUUUGAGAGUGACGUUUUGUCAGCUCUGGCCAGCGCCUCAGAACAAGGAAUCAGGAAAGUCAUUCUUGUGGCCAUGCAUCACAGUUUUGAUCAGAACUACGCUUUACCAGAACACAGAGUGUACCAACACCCGAACAUUCGGCUCCUCGUGGACUGUCUCUAUUUGAGGCUGAAGCCUUCCUGGUGCACAUUAUGCUGUUGCUGCUGCUAAAGAUGGCUUCCAGGAUCAAGCUAGACCAAAAAAAAGAAAAUUAAAAAAACAUCAACAACUUAAUCAAAUCAGGAAAUUGCGAUCAUGACAGAAAGAAGCUCAGGAAAAUGAAGGAUUUCUCAGAAUGAACACUAUGAUAAUCAAACAAAUCAUUUCUCAUAUUAUUAUUAUUAUUAUUUUUGACUUUUUUGGCUUUAAUGGAGAGACAGGACAUUGUAUAGAGUUGGAA
Labrus bergylta (ballan wrasse) is the source of this 1147-nucleotide long non-coding RNA. RefSeq lists it as uncharacterized. The record is from RefSeq and is a predicted model, not a curated record. NCBI's taxonomy places the organism in Eukaryota, Metazoa, Chordata, Actinopteri, Labriformes, Labridae.